RNAcentral lists this ribosomal RNA (397 nucleotides) under uncultured bacterium. Its description in RNAcentral is "bacterial SSU rRNA". It matches the Rfam family "Bacterial small subunit ribosomal RNA", at positions 28 to 404 of the family's 1533-position model. The record is from RNAcentral.
GACGAACGCUGGCGGCGCGCUUAACACAUGCAAGUCGAACGGAGCUACAAUGGAAAGAGUCUUCGGGCAAUGGAAGCUGUAACUUAGUGGCGGACGGGUGAGUAACACGUGAGCAACCUGCCUUUCAGAGGGGGAUAACGUUUUGAAAAGAACGCUAAUACCGCAUAAAGUAUCAUUUCCACAUGGAGGAGAUACCAAAGGAGCAAUCCGCUGAAAGAUGGGCUCGCGUCCGAUUAGCUAGUUGGUAGGGUAAUGGCCUACCAAGGCGACGAUCGGUAGCCGGACUGAGAGGUUGAACGGCCACAUUGGGACUGAGACACGGGCCCAGACUCCUACGGGAGCAGCAGGUGGGAAUAUUGCACAAUGGGAGGAACUCUGAUGCAGCGACGCCGCGUGA